This 1691-nucleotide long non-coding RNA is filed under the name Homo sapiens (human). RNAcentral describes it as "HSALNT0114209". Lineage: Eukaryota; Metazoa; Chordata; Mammalia; Primates; Hominidae. The record is from RNAcentral.
UUUGAAGGAAAGUCCUAGAUUUGCAUUAAACUGUGACAUGAGUGAGAAAGACAAUUUUGUGUGAAGGCACUGAGAUAUUCUGGUUAUUUUUUAACACAAUCAAAAUUAAGUACCCUGAAAUAUAUAAGAAGUAAAUGCUAAUUCAUAAAGUAAAAAUCUUAAGUGCCGUAGAAGUUUAAAGAAGAUGGAGAUCUGUUAACAUCUCAACAUUAUGAACUCGAAUACUCCAUAGAGACUUAGUUUCUCACACUCUGUUUUUAAAUGAGUUGCAGUAGUCAAGAGGAAAACAUAUGGAAGAGAAAGAAAUCAAGCUGGACUUUGGAGCUCUCCUGCCACUGGAUGACACAGCAAGGAGGCCUUUACCAGAUCCCAGCACUUUCGUCUUGGAUUUCCCAGCCCCUAGAACGGUAUUUCCAGUGAACUUCUAAGGAGUCAACAGUUGACAAACCAAAAGAUCCUACCAAGACCCAAUCAAGAUCCCUCCUUUACUGCAUACAUGAAGAUCUGGAGAAAUACAUUCCCCUGAGAUUUCUUGAUCCUCUAAAUUGGGAUCGAGGGAGUGUCUCUGACCUCAAGAUUGAGGUAUGACUUGAAUUGGGUCUGAGCUCCAAUUUUGUUUUGUCAAUUCACAAACAUUAUUUUCCCAGGGAGGGACAAAGAAGCAUUUUAGGCAUUUUUUUUAAAAAAGAAACAUUUUAGGAAUUAUUAACAUUUUAAAGAAGUAUUUUAAAUAUUAGAUAAAGAUUUAGGUAUCACAUAUUAUAUAAAGAAGACUUUUAGGAAUUAUUAAGUAGAAAAUUGCCUAUUUUUCUAACAACAUGUCUUAGUGUGUUCUCACACUGCUGUAAAGAGCUUCUCUGAGACCAGGUAAUUUAUAAAGGAAAGAGGUUUAAUUGACUCACAGUUCUGCAUGGCUGGGAAGGCCUCAGGAAACUUACAAUCAUGGCAGAAAGGGAAGCAGGCACCUCCUCACCAGUGGCAGGAGAAAGAGUACAAGCAGGGGAAAUGCCAGACAUUUAUAAAACCAUCAGAUCUCAUGAGAACUCACUUACUAUCAUGAAAACAGCAUGAAAGACACUUCCCCCAUAAUCCAAUCACUUCCCUCUCUCUACACAUAGGGAUUACAAUUCAUGAUGAGAUUUGGUUGGGGACACAAAGCCUAACCAUGUCACAACAUUUUGGAUCAUCUCUGUCUUUCUGUUACAAGUCUUUAAGACGAAGCCUAUAGAGAGAGGAGGUGCAUAGGCCAAGUGCGUCCAUCCCAAGUACUGAAGAAUUUAAAAGAUCAUAUCACGAUGGCAUUAUUUGGACAUAAUUUGCAUUGGGUCAGUUUUCUAAAACCUUAUACAUAUGCUCUGAGUGGAUGUAUUAAUAGUUUAUGUAUACCUUAAUAAAAUUGAUUUAAAGUAAACAUUUAAGGACUUUCCUGUGGCUUGUCUUUGUGUCCCUAGAAUUGGUUUAUUUAGUUUUGUCUGACCUGAGUUGGAGGGUUUUUUGGGCCCUGUAUUAGUCUGUUUUCAUGCUGCUGAUAAAGACAUACCUCAGACUGGGGAAUUUACAAAAGAAAGAGGUUUAUUGGUGUUACAGUUCCACAUGGCUGGGGAGGCCUCACAGUCACGGUGGAAGGCAAGGAGAAGCAAGUCACAUCUUAUGGGAUGGAAGCAGGCAAAGAGAGCUUGUGCAGGGGGACU